UUGCUUCCACAGCAUAUAUACUAAAACUGGGACGAUACAGAGAUUAGCGUGGCCCUUGCUCAAGGAUGACACACAAAUUUGUGAAGUGUUCCAUAUUAAA
Molecule: small nuclear RNA, 100 nt
Filed under: Panthera tigris altaica (Amur tiger)
Lineage: Eukaryota; Metazoa; Chordata; Mammalia; Carnivora; Felidae
Source: RNAcentral